UACGUAGGGAGCAAGCGUUGUCCGGAAUCAUUGGGCGUAAAGCGCGCGUAGGCGGCCCUGUAAGUCCGUUGUGAAAGUCAAAGGCUCAACCUUUGAAAGCCGAUGGAUACUGCAGGGCUAGAGUCCGGAAGAGGCGAGUGGAAUUCCUGGUGUAGCGGUGGAAUGCGCAGAUAUCAGGAGGAACACCAAUAGCGAAGGCGGCUCGCUGGGACGGUACUGACGCUAAGGCGCGAAAGCGUGGGGAGCGAACAGG
RNAcentral lists this ribosomal RNA (253 nucleotides) under uncultured bacterium. RNAcentral's name for it is "partial 16S ribosomal RNA". It matches the Rfam family "Bacterial small subunit ribosomal RNA", at positions 524 to 776 of the family's 1533-position model. The record is from RNAcentral.